RNAcentral lists this ribosomal RNA (253 nucleotides) under uncultured bacterium. Its description in RNAcentral is "partial 16S ribosomal RNA". It matches the Rfam family "Bacterial small subunit ribosomal RNA", at positions 524 to 776 of the family's 1533-position model. The record is from RNAcentral.
UACGAAGGAUGCAAGCGUUAUCCGGAUUCAUUGGGUUUAAAGGGAGCGUAGGUGGCCUUAUAAGUCAGUGGUGAAAUCUCUGGGCUUAACCCAGAAAUUGCCAUUGAUACUGUAGGGCUUGAGUAUAGUUGCCGUUGGCGGAAUAUGACAUGUAGUGGUGAAAUACAUAGAGAUGUCAUAGAACACCGAUUGCGAAGGCAGCUGAUGAAACUAUAACUGACACUGAGGCUCGAAAGUGUGGGGAUCAAACAGG